AUUGAACGCUGGCGGCAUGCCUUACACAUGCAAGUCGAACGGCAGCACGGGUGCUUGCACCUGGUGGCGAGUGGCGAACGGGUGAGUAAUACAUCGGAACAUGUCCUGUAGUGGGGGAUAGCCCGGCGAAAGCCGGAUUAAUACCGCAUACGAUCUACGGAUGAAAGCGGGGGACCUUCGGGCCUCGCGCUAUAGGGUUGGCCGAUGGCUGAUUAGCUAGUUGGUGGGGUAAAGGCCUACCAAGGCGACGAUCAGUAGCUGGUCUGAGAGGACGACCAGCCACACUGGGACUGAGACACGGCCCAGACUCCUACGGGAGGCAGCAGUGGGGAAUUUUGGACAAUGGGCGAAAGCCUGAUCCAGCAAUGCCGCGUAUGUGAAGAAGGCCUUCGGGUUGUAAAGCACUUUUGUCCGGAAAGAAAUCCUUGGCCCUAAUACGGUCGGGGGAUGACGGUACCGGAAGAAUAAGCACCGGCUAACUACGUG
Molecule: ribosomal RNA, 486 nt
Filed under: uncultured bacterium
Lineage: Bacteria
Description: partial 16S ribosomal RNA
Rfam family: Bacterial small subunit ribosomal RNA
Source: RNAcentral